UAACCGCACAAUAAAAUAGUUCGUAUAACCUCACGGCAAUUGCUUGAACAGGGUGAGGGUUUCUACGGGGAGCCUUAACUUCCUAACUACGAAUAUGUGAUCAUUUGCG
RNAcentral lists this non-coding RNA (109 nucleotides) under Bacillus sp. (in: firmicutes). RNAcentral describes it as "Bacillus sp. Guanine sequence". It matches the Rfam family "Purine riboswitch aptamer". From Rfam's summary of the family: Riboswitches are metabolite binding domains within certain messenger RNAs that serve as precision sensors for their corresponding targets. RNAcentral also lists the same sequence under 1 other name. Lineage: Bacteria; Bacillati; Bacillota; Bacilli; Caryophanales; Bacillaceae. The record is from RNAcentral.